This 524-nucleotide ribosomal RNA is filed under the name uncultured bacterium. RNAcentral describes it as "bacterial SSU rRNA". It matches the Rfam family "Bacterial small subunit ribosomal RNA", at positions 777 to 1301 of the family's 1533-position model. The record is from RNAcentral.
AAUAGAUACCCAGGUAGUCCACGCCGUAAACGAUGAGUGCUAAGUGUUAGAGGGUUUCCGCCCUUUAGUGCUGAAGUUAACGCAUUAAGCACUCCGCCUGGGGAGUACGGCCGCAAGGCUGAAACUCAAAGGAAUUGACGGGGGCCCGCACAAGCGGUGGAGCAUGUGGUUUAAUUCGAAGCAACGCGAAGAACCUUACCAGGUCUUGACAUCCUCUGACAACCCUAGAGAUAGGGCUUCUCCUUCGGGAGCAGAGUGACAGGUGGUGCAUGGUUGUCGUCAGCUCGUGUCGUGAGAUGUUGGGUUAAGUCCCGCAACGAGCGCAACCCUUGAUCUUAGUUGCCAUCAUUCAGUUGGGCACUCUAAGGUGACUGCCGGUGACAAACCGGAGGAAGGUGGGGAUGACGUCAAAUCAUCAUGCCCCUUAUGACCUGGGCUACACACGUGCUACAAUGGACGGUACAAAGAGCUGCAAGACCGCGAGGUGGAGCUAAUCUCAUAAAACCGUUCUCAGUUCGGAUUGU